GAUAUGAUGACAAAUGAAAAUGGUUAAGACAGCGUGUAUCUUGUCGCUAGAGGGAUGCUCUUAGGGCAGAGACUUUUUUGUAUAUUUUGAAUAUGAAUUUUAGCUUAAUCACAACAAAAUUUGCUUGAAUAUGUAUAUAUUAACUACUCUGUCACUUUUGCUAAUCUGCAUUAAAGGAAAAUCACCUUUUGGUUAAUGUAAGACCGUGACCUUUUUCUGCGUUGCUUUCUAUAGUGUCUUCUGGGACUCUCCUAUUCAUUGCUUGCCUGUGCAUUGUGGCCAAUGGUGGCAUUUGUAGUUCCUGAACAUCAGCUGGGAACUGCAUAUGGCUUCAUGCAGUCCAUUCAGAAUCUUGGGCUGGCCAUCAUUUCCAUCAUUGCUGGUAUGAUACUGGAUUCUCGGGGGUAUUUGUUUUUAGAAGUGUUCUUCAUUGCCUGUGUUUCUUGUGAGUAUUCCGUGUGACAUUUUGUUUCUUUUACUACAUAACAGAAUGUUCUUAUUUUUACUUAGGCAUAUCUCCCAGAUUUGCCUAAUUCUUGCCUGUGUAUUAGAAUUUCAUAGCUGGUGACUUUCUAGCCCUCUGAAGAUUCACAGGCAUUUUUCAGGAGAUUCCUAUCCUUAAAGGCAGUGAUUGAGUUGGUUUCAUAUUCUGUUUUAACUAUUUACAGUUAAAAAAAAAAA
This 681-nucleotide small RNA is filed under the name Pongo abelii (Sumatran orangutan). RNAcentral describes it as "retained intron". The record is from RNAcentral. Lineage: Eukaryota; Metazoa; Chordata; Mammalia; Primates; Hominidae.